Molecule: long non-coding RNA, 1111 nt
Filed under: Homo sapiens (human)
Lineage: Eukaryota; Metazoa; Chordata; Mammalia; Primates; Hominidae
Description: PCBP1 antisense RNA 1
Source: RNAcentral
AACACAAAAUGGCGACACGUGGUUAGCAUUCGUCGCCAACGAGAAAUUGGGGUCGGCCCGAAAGCUCUAGAAUGCACCCCUCUUCCUCCCCGGGGCCUUCCACCUCCGCGAGUUUUAUGACUUAAAAAAGCCCACAGGCUGGUCUGAAGGUCGGAGGCCUAAUUUUAACGCGUUUUCCUCCCUUUAAUUUGAAACGGGAACGCGAAUGACUGUAAAAUGUGGGCACAAUAUUUAAUCUCUCGCCUUUUUAAAGCUUAAUAGUGGAUAAUAGGGGGGCAGUAUCAAGGGAUAAUUUGGGUCCCCACAGUACCAAAGCAUUUAGAAACCUCUGUUUAAUUUAAGGAAUGAGAUAAGUUACUGCUUUUCUAGACUUCCUAGCAUGGGCUGUUGUGCUGGAGAGAACGAGAGCUACGAAGAGACUACAGUGCCUCUGACUUUUUCAUAGGACAGUUGGCCGAGGAAGACAAACAUAAAGAUGAAGUGCUUAAUUCAAGGUCACACAAUGUCGGGGAUGGACCUCCAGAUUUCCUUACUGGUGAGACGUGGUCUUGUAACACAGUGGUUAAGAAUGUGACUUUGGAGCCAGCCUGCUAGGGGCUGAAUUCUGACUCAGCCAUUUACUAACUGUGUGACCUUAGGCUGGAGUGCAAUGGCAUGAUCUCGGCUCAUCACAACCUCUGCUUCCUGGGUUCAAGCGAUUCUCCUGCCUCAGCCUCCCGAGUACCUGGGACUACAGGCACUCGCCACCAUGCCCGGCUGAUUUUUGUAUUUUUAAUAGAGAUGGUUUCACUAUGUUGGCCAGGCUGGUCUCGAACUCCUGACCUUGUGAUCUGCCCACCUCAGCCUCGAAAAGUGCUGGGAUUACAGGCGUGAGCCACUGCGCCCAGCCUUGUAUUUUUUUUCAGUUUGGGUAGCUGUCCCUAAUUCAUUUGUUAAAGGAGAAGCAAGAGCAAGAACCUUUAAUCUGUUCUCCUCUUCCCUAAUUUGAAAGUAGCUUGUUAUUUUGAAUAUCACUUUCUCUGAAAUAGCACAUCUCCAUCUCAGAGAAUGGAUUUAAUGUUUGGAUACAGCCAAAAGUCAUUUCAUUACCAAACCAUGGGGUGAAUAUACC